CCUGGGAUUGGUGGCUGGAGCCCAGUUCCUGGGGAGGCUGAGGCAGGAGAGUUGCUUGAGCCCAGGAGUUCUGGGUUGCUGUGCACUGUGUUGAUUGGAUGACGGCACCAAGUUCGGCAUCAAUAUAGGGAGUGGGGGACUACUAGGUUGCCUAAAAGGAGGGAUGAACUGGCCCAGGUCAGAAAUGGUGCAAAUCAAAACUAUCGUGCUGAUCAGCAGAGGGAUCAUGCCUUUGAAUAGACACUACAUUCCAGCCUAGGCAACAUGGCAAAACCCAAUGCUUUU
This 285-nucleotide signal recognition particle RNA is filed under the name Saimiri boliviensis boliviensis (Bolivian squirrel monkey). RNAcentral's name for it is "Metazoan signal recognition particle RNA (ENSSBOG00000001726.1)". It matches the Rfam family "Metazoan signal recognition particle RNA". Rfam says of the family: The signal recognition particle (SRP) is a universally conserved ribonucleoprotein. Lineage: Eukaryota; Metazoa; Chordata; Mammalia; Primates; Cebidae. The record is from RNAcentral.